AAUGAGCCUGCGAGUGACGGUAUGUGGCAAGGUUAACCAGUGAUGGGGAGCCGAAGCGAAAGCGAGUCUGAAUAGGGCGUUGAGUCGCAUGCUGUCGACCCGAAGCCAAGUGAUCUAUCCAUGGCCAGGUUGAAGCGGGGGUAAGACCCCGUGGAGGACCGAACACACGUCAGUUGAAAAUGGCGGUGAUGAGCUGUGGAUAGGGGUGAAAGGCCAAACAAACUUGGUGAUAGCUGGUUCUCCUCGAAAUGUAUUUAGGUACAGCGUCGUGCGUUCAGUCUCGGAGGUAGAGCACUGGAUGGGCUAGGGGGCCUACAAGCUUACCGAACCCAGCCAAACUCCGAAUGCCGAGACUCCAGAGCACGGCAGUGAGACUACGGGGGAUGAGCUUCGUUAGUCGAAAGGGAAACAGCCC
This 415-nucleotide ribosomal RNA is filed under the name uncultured bacterium. RNAcentral describes it as "bacterial LSU rRNA". It matches the Rfam family "Bacterial large subunit ribosomal RNA", at positions 614 to 1028 of the family's 2925-position model. The record is from RNAcentral.